Molecule: non-coding RNA, 51 nt
Filed under: unclassified sequences
Description: S4-Clostridia ribosomal protein leader
Rfam family: S4-Clostridia ribosomal protein leader
Source: RNAcentral
GAAAGAUCGGGUAGAUACCCGGUUGGGCGUCCACUGGAUGCCUCAAUUAGG